UUCAGUAAGAUGAAUUCUAACUGAAGGAGCAUGAGCAAUGACUAUAUUAAACUUCAGUGAUGCAUAACAUGUCAAAUACAAAUUUACCCAAACCCUCUGCUCACACAAAUCUAGCUCUUGAAUAAAGCUGCAUGUUGUAUAAAAACACUUUUCUUUUAUAACUCUGGAACUAGAGGCUAAUAAACAGAAUAUCUCUGAAUUUAAUUUAAUUUAAAUGAGAAAAAUGUUGGGCACCUCAGCAGGUAUCAGUCUUUUAAAAUAUAUACCUUUGUAUUUACGAUUGAUCUGUAAACUGUAAGAUUGAGUAUGGACUUUAAUUUCUUUCUGCUAUAUAUUUCCAGGGCAGAACUUACCUGCUUGCUAUCCUAAUCUAAAAUAUCUGCAUUAGCCCAGGGCUAAGCAACACAGUGUCUGUAGGUACCAAUAAGUUCUGAAACAUCUCCCUUGGAAUCUCCUAACAUAUUUGAGAAAAGGUUUAAUCCUUCCCCAUUUGGUCUUUGCAGUGCAUGGAACAUUUACGACUUCAGUUCUGAAGUGACUCAAGAUAUUUAAGCCUUUCAGAUAACAUUACAAUGAGUGUUACGAUUCUCUGUCCGUUGGCUCAGUCCUGAUUGUUUGUCCCAUGCUGCUCCACUUCUUUUCUCUCUGUACUAUCUUAGCAUACUGCUGUGCCAUAUUGCUACUGCCCUGUCCCCAUGCUAGCAGCAGAUUGGGCUUCUAUUAGGCUGCAAACCUAAACACAUGCAUAAAGGAAUAGAUCCCACUGAACUUAAUGCAGCUGUCAUCUGAGUAAAUACACACCAGAUUGCACUGUGCAGGGGUUCAGACACAAUUUAAAUAAAAUCACCACUUUUAUGAACAGUAGCUUCUUGUCUUUGAAUUGUUAAAGAAUACAUACCGACACCUUUACCUAUCAGACAAUUUCACAAUGUAACAUUUUUUAAGUGUUUGAAUUUGUUUUCAUAAAUUAGAUGAAAUUUUUAUAAUGCAUGUUUAUUUUACGCAGAACAAAAGCUCAUAAAAGCCUCUAUCGGCUAUGUUCUAGACAAGACAGAUACAUGUCGUGUGAAUACGUGCAGUCUAGAUUUCUGCACAGUCCUUCAGGUACUGAAAUGUUUGCUCAAAUAUUGAGAGAUGACUCCAUCAGACUUUCAAUUGCACAAUUGAAAGAGAAUGGGUAUCCACCCAGUCUUGCAGUAUCCAUUUUUUCCCAAUCAUAAAAGCAUGUAAUAACCGUGUCUCCUCUUACUAGUUUUCAAGUGAUGAGUAUUUAAUUCAAAAGAAAAUACCUAAAAGGCAAUCAAGUCUUCCAGAACAAAAUUCAUGUGAAAUACCCUCUGCCUAUAAGAAUAUUUCAGUAUACAUAACUGAUUUGUAUAUUUAUACCGAACUGUUUAUCUUCUUCACUAGGUUUUAGUUUUUCACCUACGUUAUUUGAUGACUAACCAGUUUUUGCUUUCCAUUGCAUCGAAUUCUGAGCUGAGUUGGUUCAAAACAAAUUAAACUAUUUCUUCUUUUACUACCAAGAUUCCUGUGGCGUUAUAAAGCAUUCAUUCUAUUACUUCUUCCUUUUCCAUUUCUCCAGUAUGUCUUCUGCUUGUUCUUUUAACUAGUUAGACUGCGUAUUCAAUUCUCAAGAGAUGGCACCCUGCAUUGUAGAGUAAAGCGUGUGAAACAGCUGGUAUGGGAUUCUAAGUUGAUUGAGAAUUAUGCAGUUUAAAUGGUAGAGGAGAAUAGAAGUCGAAGUGCCAUAAUGUUGAAGGUGUUCAGCUAAAGAAUUUGUUUUUGAAAAAUAAGCACAUGCAUUUUUAAAUUGUGAAUAGCCAGUACUGUACUAUAUUUCAGUGAUAGCCAGGAUGUCUUGAUAUCUUAAGUGUUUACAUUUGGAAAGACAACUGGCGACAGAAAAUAGUUCCAAUAUUUGUUAGUUGUAUCCAGGAAGGAAUGUAGAACAUAAGGCCUUUGAUUAAAAUUAUGUAUCUUAUCCAGAAACAUAGGCAAAAGAAGCCAAUGCUACUUAAGACUUCAUUAAAGAUACAGACACAUAUAUUUGCUUAAAUAUUUUGUUGAUUUUGUUAUCUCUAAAUUCUUGCAUUCCUUUCUAGUAUAAAAACACUGGCUUGUUUUUAACUGAUCAAAAUCUCCACUAAUUUAUAGGCAGGGAAAGAAGUUUAAAUCCAUGGUCCUUUUAAGUAAGAGGGGAAAAUGUGAAAAAUCAACUUUGCUAAAAAUAAUAAUGGCCCCAAUUCCUUCAGCAUGCUAACAUGGCUCUGGCAAGCUGGCAUGAAAGUGAAGACAGGAUCCUCCACUGAGAAGUAAAGUUGGCCUGAUUUCAGAGUCUGAUUUGAGAUGUAUUCAGUAAGACUGAGAGACUGUCCUCUCCUGAUAGAAAUGGAUAGAUUCACUCCCUGAGUCAGCUGAAGAUAGCUUGGGGCAGCUCAUUAUCUUGCCUGCAGAGUAAAUGUAGACAGUAUGAAAAUGCAUUUAAAAUGUUUGGAUCCUUGUAUACAGGAUUAACCUUGCUGACAUCCUAAUAUUGCUGAUUUACACACUUGAUUCCCCCAUCCCUUUUUCUUCAGCAGACAAGAAUUUCUGUCAUGUAUUUAGUACAUGUGUUAACAAGUAAAGAUGAGGAGGGGAAACUUAAAUGCAGCGUAAUUGGCAACCAUAAGUCGUUAGAACUGUGGCUCUCAGUUGAUGUAAUAAAUUUAGCUCUUCCUUGCAGACUAAAUAUAAAAACUUGAGUCUGCUUUCUUAGUGUAUUGCAGUUUCUUAAACACCUGGAUUGAAAACUGUAAUAAUGAAAACAAGAAUGUAGACUAAAUUGAAUGGUUAGGAAUCCGGUGCGUCCCUGUGCUGUGGCUCAUUUAGGGGUCUAGUUUAGAACAGAGUGCUCCUUAUUUUGAAGAAAGCAAAUAUAAAGGGCAUGUCACACCUAUUGAACAAAGUACUUUAGCAUCUGUAUAGAUGAAUACAGUUUAGAAAUAUACAUCCCAAUACUUAUACAAAUACAUGGUUUUUAACCACCUAUUUAAGCAGCAAGCCGCUCAGUUUCUCUGACAACUGAAAACUAUGUUAGGAAGGAGCAUGCAUAAAAUAGGAUGAAAUAAUUACGAUGUUAAUUCAUUUUCUUGUAACAGCAUAUUUUACUCAAUGGGCUGCAAUUUAAGGUCACACUUGUUCGUUGUUAAUUCUCUUUUGAUUCUUCUUUGCAACUGAAAUAAACACAUUAAUGAAAGUCUUUCCUUUUAACAUGAA
Molecule: long non-coding RNA, 3258 nt
Organism: Candoia aspera
Lineage: Eukaryota; Metazoa; Chordata; Lepidosauria; Squamata; Candoiidae
Exons: 2
Source: RefSeq, a predicted model, not a curated record